This 497-nucleotide ribosomal RNA is filed under the name uncultured bacterium. RNAcentral describes it as "partial 16S ribosomal RNA". It matches the Rfam family "Bacterial small subunit ribosomal RNA", at positions 28 to 507 of the family's 1533-position model. The record is from RNAcentral.
GAUGAACGCUGGCGGCGUGCCUAAUACAUGCAAGUCGAGCGAACAGACGAGGAGCUUGCUCCUCUGACGUUAGCGGCGGACGGGUGAGUAACACGUGGAUAACCUGCCUAUAAGACUGGGAUAACUUCGGGAAACCGGAGCUAAUACCGGAUAAUAUAUUGAACCGCAUGGUUCAAUAUUGAAAGACGGAUUUGCUGUCACAUAUAGAUGGAUCCGGGCCGAUUAAGCAAGUUGGUAAGUUAUCGGCUUACCAAGGCAACGAUGCGUAGCCAACCGGAGAGGGGGAUCGGCCACACUGGAACUGAGACACGGUCCAGACUCCUACGGGAGGCAGCAGUAGGGAAUCUUCCGCAAUGGGCGAAAGCCUGACGGAGCAACGCCGCGUGAGUGAUGAAGGUCUUCGGAUCGUAAAACUCUGUUAUUAGGGAAGAACAAAUGUGUAAGUAACUAUGCACGUCUUGACGGUACCUAAUCAGAAAGCCACGGCUAACUACGUG